UGCCAGCAGCCGCGGUAAUACAUAAGGGGCGAGCGUUAUCCGGAAUUAUUGGGCGUAAAGGGUGCGUAGGCGGUUUAAUAAGUCUAUAGUUUAAUUUCAGUGCUUAACGCUGUUGUGCUAUAGAAACUGUUUUACUAGAGUGAGUUAGAGGCAAGCGGAAUUCCAUGUGUAGCGGUAAAAUGCGUAAAUAUAUGGAGGAACACCAGAGGCGUAGGCGGCUUGCUGGGACUUUACUGACGCUGAGGCACGAAAGCGUGGGGAGCAAACAGGAUUAGAUACCCUGGUAGUCCACACCGUAAACGAUGAGUACUAAGUGUCGGGUAAAACCGGUACUGAAGUUAACACAUUAAGUACUCCGCCUGAGUAGUACGUACGCAAGUAUGAAACUUAAAGGAAUUGACGGGACUCCGCACAAGCGGUGGAUCAUGUUGUUUAAUUCGAAGAUACACGAAAAACCUUACCAGGUCUUGACAUUUUCUUGCGAAGUUAUAGAAAUAUAAUGGAGGUUAUCAGGAAAACAGGAGGUGCAUGGUUGUCGUCAGCUCGUGUCGUGAGAUGUUAGGUUAAGUCCUAAAACGAGCGCAACCCUUGUCGUUAAUUGCCAGCAUGUAAUGAUGGGGACUUUAACGAGACUGCCAAUGAAAAAUUGGAGGAAGGUGGGGAUUACGUCAAAUCAUCAUGCCCCUUAUGAUCUGGGCUACAAACGUGAUACAAUGGUUGAUACAAAGA
This 729-nucleotide ribosomal RNA is filed under the name Cassava frogskin disease phytoplasma. Its description in RNAcentral is "bacterial SSU rRNA". It matches the Rfam family "Bacterial small subunit ribosomal RNA", at positions 506 to 1245 of the family's 1533-position model. Lineage: Bacteria; Bacillati; Mycoplasmatota; Mollicutes; Acholeplasmatales; Acholeplasmataceae. The record is from RNAcentral.